GGGCAGGUACCCUAGUGGACAAAGGGGGCAGACUGUAAAUCUGCUGCGCUUGCGCUUCGAAGGUUCGAAUCCUCCCCUGCCCA
RNAcentral lists this transfer RNA (83 nucleotides) under Candidatus Omnitrophota bacterium. Its description in RNAcentral is "tRNA-Tyr". It matches the Rfam family "tRNA". Rfam says of the family: Transfer RNA (tRNA) molecules are approximately 80 nucleotides in length. The record is from RNAcentral. RNAcentral also lists the same sequence under 1 other name. Lineage: Bacteria; Pseudomonadati; Candidatus Omnitrophota.